This 103-nucleotide small nuclear RNA is filed under the name Chelonoidis abingdonii (Abingdon island giant tortoise). Lineage: Eukaryota; Metazoa; Chordata; Testudines; Testudinidae. The record is from RNAcentral.
UUGCUUCAGCAGCACAUAUACUAAAAUUGGAACGAUACAGAGAAGAUUAGGAUGGCCCCUGUGCAAGGAUGACGUGCACAUUCGUGAAAUGUUCUCAAUGGGU